CUUACUCCUACGGGAGGCAGCUACUCCUACGGGAGGCAGCAGUCGGGAAUUUUGGGCAAUGGGCGAAAGCCUGACCCAGCAACGCCGCGUGAAGGAUGAAGUUUUUCGGAAUGUAAACUUCGAAAGAAUGGGAAGAAUAAACGGC
RNAcentral lists this ribosomal RNA (145 nucleotides) under uncultured soil bacterium. Its description in RNAcentral is "partial 16S ribosomal RNA". It matches the Rfam family "Bacterial small subunit ribosomal RNA", at positions 301 to 457 of the family's 1533-position model. The record is from RNAcentral.